This is a long non-coding RNA of Anopheles stephensi (Asian malaria mosquito), 3403 nucleotides long. RefSeq lists it as uncharacterized. Lineage: Eukaryota; Metazoa; Arthropoda; Insecta; Diptera; Culicidae. The record is from RefSeq and is a predicted model, not a curated record. The transcript has 4 exons.
CUUAGUUCCAAUUUAUUUUUUUCUGUUUGCGAGUGUGCUGAAGCAUCCUCCAUGCGAUCAGCCCCUAGAAGUAUGCAAUUAAGGAUUCACACUCUAUUCUAAGAGGUUUUUAAUGUAAAGAUUCUAGGCUGUGAUAGUUGUGUAUUGAGAAAAUCAUUUUGAGAACAAUCAUAUUGCAAUUAAUAAUAAAUUGUCCAAAACAUUUCAGUAGACAUUCCGCCAUGUCGAUGAGGACUGAUAUUUAGUACAUCAAUGAGAUGUAUUUGUCAUUAAAAUAAAAAGGCUUUCCUAAAAUUAAGUGACAGCUUGGGUCCUAGAAAUAAGCUUCAUACACCGCAAUUCAGAUUUUUUAUUACAGGUCACAUAAAAAACCUCAUAAAAAUCUAGAGAAAAAUAUUGAAACGCCUAAAUGUAUGCAAAACUAAAACAAAAAUCGCCUCUUACUAAUUUCCUACUGCUUUCAGCCUUUCACCUUCAAUAUUCCAGUCCAAAUUACAAGCAGAACAAUAGCAACACAUCCUUCCGUGUCAGGUAAUUGAUCUCCUCCAUCCGUACAGUCAUACUUUCUUCCGACAGUACCGAAAAAGGCCUGCAAUGUUCAUCGUAGAUCAUCAUUUAACCUGAGCUACAGAAGCAUGAGCCAUUGUGACACGAGCAACGGUGGCACAGUUCCGGUCCGGGCAACCCGGAUCCUUGCCCAAGGGCCGAACAGCACAGGAACAGGAAGGCAGUGCAGGUAACAAAGGGCUCAAAGGUACAGUACAGAACGAGCCGGGACAGCAUUACAACAUGACCAUUUCCUUCGCAAGUAAUUCAAAAGAAAUAACGAGAUGAGCUGCGUUUGUUGUUCGGAACAGUUGCCCAAAUAUCCGUCUUUCUCUACCCUGAACCGGAAGCAUAUCAUCAUUACGUAGCACAAACCUUCUCUAGGUGAUUCAAUUCUGCUUCAGAAUCCAUUUGCAGCAAGGAUGACAGUGUUUGAUUCAUGCCACGACCCGGACAUCACCACCAAAACACCUUUUGUCCGUCUUUAGGGGCGGUGAAAAUGUUGUGUAAAUAAAUAAUGCAUGUUUUGACCCAUCUUCAAAGGGAAAACGGAACCUUUGCAACAAUGAGCAAUGAAAAUACGUACCUUAACUUGUCACUAAACACAGAUCGAUGGAAGGAAACGGUUUUCGAACAAUUCCCGUUUUGUGUAACAGUAAGGCUGGGUGUACGAUUGACUUUUUAUUUGCCGGCGACUGUCCGCAACCGGAUGCGGUACAGAAUCGAGAAUCGAGAAGCCUGUAUGCAGCCGGUACAGCCGACCAGUGACGUUCGUGUGCACCGCUGCAUCGUUGCAUCGUGGGCUUGGGCAUCUGGGCAAACAUUAUGCUCAGCGUCGUUGCACAGCGGGCGGCAAGCCGGCGUAGGCAGGAACGUCGAAGACGUGUUUGACACCUUUAAGACGCGAAAGCAGCCCUCCGAAAGCUCCCUUACAAAAACUACACGAGGGAUAAGAGAGCGUAGCGAAAGCAGAAGCAUCAUCAUCACCCUCAACCCUGGACCCAGCCGAUGACGACGCAACGGGACGACACAUACAUCGCCAGGAAGAAACGAUUAUCAAGCUGAGCAAACAUCAUUAGAGAGAUGGACGGGCCACGAGACGAGAUCAUGCCCAAGGAACCGUGACAAAAAGGGGAAAAGGGAGAAGGUGUUUUGCCCUUCCGCUCUCCCCUCCAGUCCCCAUCGGAAGACCCAUCUCAAGACGUACCGGGUGCCGAUGCCGAUAACAAAGAUGCUGCCAGCGUUGUCCUCGGCCCGGCGGGUCCUGGACCAACUCGGAACGGGGCGGAUUGCCGUACUUGAGUGACUAUUUGCUUAGGUGUGCCGUCAAUUAUAAACCUUCAGCUUUUUUUUGUUGUACAUCUUCCCGUACCGUUUUCCUGCCUCUUCUAGUACCCGAAACGAAACGGAACUAUCAUAUGCAAACGAGCUUUCCUUACGAUUUUCUAAAUGUUGUUUGCCGAGAGGACAGAGAAAAGCGUUUUAAAAUUAAAAAUAAAAUAUUACUAUCACUCACACACGCGUAUCGAACGCUUUAAAAGCAGACGCUAAUUGGGCCAUUUAGGCUCACAAGUCUGGUCUAGAGCCUGCCGAUGACUUCCGGUCGCUACAGCAUCACAACAACAACAACACUCUUUACAUUAUUUUCAAAGCAAAACAAACAAAAACGCACAAAACACGAUGACCUCUGCCACACACACACACACGAUGAUGAUUGCAAUCAAUUUUUCUUUUAUUCCUUCAUCACCUCCCCCUUCACUCCCACCCUGGGGAGCUGUGGAAACACUUCUUGCGCCCUUAUGUUUCCAAUGUUACCGCAAGCACUUGAAUCUUAAUUGGUAAACAUAUUUUUUACAGCGCACCACCCAGCUCCAUAACGGCUCGUUAGUGUUUCAAGCACUAUUGCUCACGCGCGCACACAGAAACGUUUUCCAUACGCUUUUCUUUGCUGGUGUGAAGACACACUCAUGUUGAAGCCCACCCCUUUUUUCCACCCCGUUCGGUAGGGUCAUCUCCCUGCCCAUGGUGUCUCUCGCGCCCAUUUUCCAUCAAUGGGCCCAAAAUAAAAAAAAAGUAAAAACCCCAGCAAGCGUUCCUAGCGACAAUUGCAUCGUCGAGUGUGUGUGUGUGUAACAAAAGUAAUCGGCAUCAGUAAAAAUAGAAAACACCGAUAGGGGUAGUUAUUUAAAGUUGGCUACAAUCAUCUUCAUCCUACUCCGAACAAAAGGCUCAAAAUCGUUAUUGUAACGAUUAGUUUCAAUUGGGCCUGCUUGCUACCAACUACGUACGGACCGGUGGUACUUCUCUGUGUGUGUGUGUGUGUGUGUGAGUGUGUGCCAGUAAAGUAUCGAAGGAGGCUGUGAGCACCCACUUGAUGAUGUUGCGCGUUUGCGCCUAUGCCCUUUGGCGGAGUUUAAAUGUUGGAGGAGAAUGUUGUUUGCUGCGCUUUCGGCGGAUCGUGCCACUGUGUGCCCUGUUUUCGGUGCUAUUCUGACCCUGGUGAGAGGGUGAGUAUUUUUUUCGAUACAUACAAAAGGGUAGGGAGUUGUGAAAACUGCAUUGUACUGAAUCUGAUGCAACCCUUUUUUCCACUUUGAUUCACGAGUUGGUUGUUUUCUUUCAUGUUUUGUGUUUCUAUUUGGUGGUUCUACACGUUUUAUUGAACAAUCCGUGGUUUGCUUGUAGUUUGUUGUUGAUAUUUAUGGAUAAAUGUUCCCGGUAUUAGGUAAACAGCUUACAAGCUGCAUAUUUGCUAUCAGACUUGUUCUAGUCUGAAAUUACAAAGACAAUCAAGUAUUCCACGAUACGGUACAAGAAUGCAGCUUACUGGACCUUCCUGCACUACUUUACAAGUCCU